Molecule: ribosomal RNA, 453 nt
Filed under: Helcococcus sp. canine oral taxon 069
Lineage: Bacteria; Bacillati; Bacillota; Tissierellia; Tissierellales; Peptoniphilaceae
Description: bacterial SSU rRNA
Rfam family: Bacterial small subunit ribosomal RNA
Source: RNAcentral
GAGUUUGAUCAUGGCUCAGGACAAACGCUGGCGGCGUGCAUAACACAUGCAAGUCGAACGAAAUCUACAUGAUUUAGUGGCGAACGGGUGAGUAACACGUGAGAAACCUGCCUUACACAGAGGGAUAGCCGUUGGAAACGACGAUUAAUACCUCAUGACACCGUGACAUCGCAUGAUGAUGCGGUCAAAGAUUUAUCGGUGUAAGAUGGUCUCGCGCCUGAUUAGCUGGUUGGUGGGGUAACGGCCUACCAAGGCGACGAUCAGUAGCCGAUCUGAGAGGGUGGACGGCCACAUUGGGACUGAGACACGGCCCAAACUCCUACGGGAGGCAGCAGUGGGGAAUUUUGCACAAUGGGGGAAACCCUGAUGCAGCGACGCCGCGUGAACGAAGAAGGCCUUCGGGUUGUAAAGUUCUGUCCCUUGGUGAAGAUAAUGACCGUAACCAGAGAAGCC